UGGGGAAUUUUGCACAAUGGAGGAAACUCUGAUGCAGCGACGCCGCGUGAGUGAUGAAGAUCUUCGGAUUGUAAAACUCUGUCCUUAGUGAAGAUAAUGACAGUAACUAAGAAGCAAGCUCUGGCUAAAUACGUGCCAGCAGCCGCGGUAAUACGUAUGGGGCAAGCGUUGUCCGGAAUUAUUGGGCGUAAAGGGUACGUAGGCGGUUUAAUAAGUCCUAAUUAAAAGGCUAUGGCUCAACCAUAGUAUGGUUAGGAAACUGUUGAACUUGAGUAGAUGAGGGGAAAGUGGAAUUCCAUGUGUAGCGGUGAAAUGCGUAGAUAUAUGGAGGAACACCAAUGGCGAAGGCAACUUUCUGGAAUCAAACUGACGCUGAGGUACGAAGGCGUGGGGAGCAAACAGG
This 403-nucleotide ribosomal RNA is filed under the name Fusobacteriota bacterium. RNAcentral's name for it is "Fusobacteria bacterium partial 16S ribosomal RNA". It matches the Rfam family "Bacterial small subunit ribosomal RNA", at positions 355 to 776 of the family's 1533-position model. Lineage: Bacteria; Fusobacteriati; Fusobacteriota. The record is from RNAcentral.